RNAcentral lists this ribosomal RNA (460 nucleotides) under uncultured bacterium. Its description in RNAcentral is "partial 16S ribosomal RNA". It matches the Rfam family "Bacterial small subunit ribosomal RNA", at positions 338 to 795 of the family's 1533-position model. The record is from RNAcentral.
CCUACGGGUGGCAGCAGUGGGGAAUCUUGGUCAAUGGACGAAAGUCUGAACGAGCCAAGUCGCGUGAAGGAUGUCUGCCCUAUGGGUUGUAAACUUCUUUUAUAUGGGAAUAAAACGAUCCACGUGUGGGAUUUUGUAUGUACCAUAUGAAUAAAGAUCGGCUAACUCCGUGCCAGCAGCCGCGGUGAUACGGAGGGUCCGAGCGUUAUCCGGAUUUAUUGGGUUUAAAGGGAGCGUAGGUGGUUUGUUAAGUCAGAUGUGAAAGUUUGCGGCUCAACCGGAAAAGUGCAGUUGAAACUGGCAGUCUUGAGUACAGUAGAGGUGAGUGGAAUUCGUGGUGUAGCGGUGAAAUGCUUAGAUAUAACGAAGAACACCGAUUGCGAAGGCAGCUCACUGGACUGCAACUGACACUGAGGCUCGAAAGUGUGGGUAUCAAACAGGAUUAGAUACCCUGGUAGUC